CGUAGGUGGCAAGCGUUGUCCGGAUUUAUUGGGUUUAAAGGGUGCGUAGGCGGUCUAUUAAGUCAGUGCUGAAAUACUCCAGCUUAACUGGAGGGGUGGCAUUGAUACUGAUGGACUUGAGUACAGAUGAGGUAGGCGGAAUUGACGGUGUAGCGGUGAAAUGCAUAGAUAUCGUCAAGAACACCGAUAGCGAAGGCAGCUUACUGGGCUGUAACUGACGCUGAUGCACGAAAGUGUGGGGAUCAAACAGGAUUAGAUACCCUGGUAGUCCACACUGUAAACGUUGAUUACUCGCUGUUUGCGAUACACGGCAAGCGGCUUAGCGAAAGCGAUAAGUAAUCCACCUGGGGAGUACGCCGGCAACGGUG
This 368-nucleotide ribosomal RNA is filed under the name uncultured organism. RNAcentral describes it as "bacterial SSU rRNA". It matches the Rfam family "Bacterial small subunit ribosomal RNA", at positions 526 to 896 of the family's 1533-position model. The record is from RNAcentral.